This 490-nucleotide ribosomal RNA is filed under the name uncultured bacterium. RNAcentral's name for it is "partial 16S ribosomal RNA". It matches the Rfam family "Bacterial small subunit ribosomal RNA", at positions 30 to 507 of the family's 1533-position model. The record is from RNAcentral.
AUUGAACGCUGGCGGCAGGCCUAACACAUGCAAGUCGAACGGUAACAGGAAGAAGCUUGCUUCUUUGCUGACGAGUGGCGGACGGGUGAGUAAUGUCUGGGAAACUGCCUGAUGGAGGGGGAUAACUACUGGAAACGGUAGCUAAUACCGCAUAACGUCGCAAGACCAAAGAGGGGGACCUUCGGGCCUCUUGCCAUCGGAUGUGCCCAGAUGGGAUUAGCGAGUAGGUGGGGUAACGGCUCACCUAGGCGACGAUCCCUAGCUGGUCUGAGAGGAUGACCAGCCACACUGGAACUGAGACACGGUCCAGACUCCUACGGGAGGCAGCAGUGGGGAAUAUUGCACAAUGGGCGCAAGCCUGAUGCAGCCAUGCCGCGUGUAUGAAGAAGGCCUUCGGGUUGUAAAGUACUUUCAGCGGGGAGGAAGGGAGUAAAGUUAAUACCUUUGCUCAUUGACGUUACCCGCAGAAGAAGCACCGGCUAACUCCGUG